Molecule: ribosomal RNA, 468 nt
Filed under: uncultured bacterium
Lineage: Bacteria
Description: partial 16S ribosomal RNA
Rfam family: Bacterial small subunit ribosomal RNA
Source: RNAcentral
GACGAACGCUGGCGGCGUGCUUAACACAUGCAAGUCGAACGGAAAGGCCCUGCUUUUGUGGGGUGCUCGAGUGGCGAACGGGUACGUAACACGUGAGUAACCUGCCCUUGACUUUGGGAUAACUUCAGGAAACUGGGGCUAAUACCGUAUAGGAUCUCCUGCUGCAUGGUGGGGGUUGGAAAGUUUCGGCGGUUGGGGAUGGACUCGCGGCUUAUCAGCUUGUUGGUGGGGUAGUGGCUUACCAAGGCUUUGACGGGUAGCCGGCCUGAGAGGGUGACCGGCCACAUUGGGACUGAGAUACGGCCCAGACUCCUACGGGAGGCAGCAGUGGGGAAUAUUGCACAAUGGGCGGAAGCCUGAUGCAGCAACGCCGCGUGCGGGAUGACGGCCUUCGGGUUGUAAACCGCUUGCGCCUGUGACGAAGCGUGAGUGACGGGAAUGGGUAAAGAAGCACCGGCUAACUACGUG